UGCAGUCGGACGACAGGCGAGGAAUCCGCAAGGAGGAAUCGUGCUGAGUGGCGAACGGGUGAGUAAGACAUGGGGACGUACCCUCAAGAGGGGGAUAGCAUUCCGAAAGGGAUGGUAAUACCCCGUAAGCUCGAGAGAGGGAAGGUGCAACAGCACCGCUUGAGGAGCGACUCAUGGCCCAUCAGUUAGUUGGUGAGGUAAAGGCCCACCAAGGCUAUGACGGGUAGCUGGUCUGAGAGGAUGGUCAGCCACACUGGGACUGAGACACGGCCCAGACUCCUACGGGAGGCAGCAGUGGGGAAUUUUUCCCAAUGGGCGAAAGCCUGAGGGAGCGACGCCGCGUGGAGGAAGGAGUCUUUCGAGAUGUAAACUCCUGUUGUAAGGGAGCAAGGGUAUAUGUAGUGGAAAGGCAUAUACUCGGAUAGUACCUUACGAGGAAGCCCCGGCUAACUACGUGCCAGCAGCCGCGGUAAUACGUAGGGGGCGAGCGUUGUCCGGAGUUACUGGGCGUAAAGGGUGCGUAGGUGGCCGAUAAAGUCAAUUGUGAAAUUCCACGGCUCAACUGUGGGAGUGCGGUUGAAACUAAUCGGCUUGAGGUCAGGUCAGGAAGAUGGAAUUGUCAGUGUAGGGGUGAAAUCCGUAGAUAUUGGCAAGAACGCCGGUGGUGAAGACGGUCUUCUGGGCUGAUACUGACACUGAGGCACGAAAGCUAGGGGAGCGAACGGGAUUAGAUACCCCGGUAGUCCUAGCCGUAAACGAUGUUCACUGAGUAUGGGAGGCGUUAGCCAUCCGUGCUGAAGCAAACGCGUUAAGUGAACCGCCUGGGGAGUACGGCCGCAAGGUUGAAACUCAAA
Molecule: ribosomal RNA, 854 nt
Filed under: uncultured bacterium
Lineage: Bacteria
Description: bacterial SSU rRNA
Rfam family: Bacterial small subunit ribosomal RNA
Source: RNAcentral